This 96-nucleotide ribosomal RNA is filed under the name uncultured Armatimonadota bacterium. Lineage: Bacteria; Bacillati; Armatimonadota. The record is from RNAcentral.
CACCCGUUCCCAUCCCGAACACGGCCGUGAAAACCCGCUGCGGCCAAGAUACUGGGGGCGCGAGCCCCUGGGAAAAUAGCACGCCGCCAGGAUACC